Molecule: non-coding RNA, 115 nt
Organism: Triticum urartu
Lineage: Eukaryota; Viridiplantae; Streptophyta; Magnoliopsida; Poales; Poaceae
Source: Rfam
UCAUUACUCCCUCCGAUCGAUAUUACUUGUCGCUGAAAUUGAUGUAUCUAGACAUAUUUCAGUGCUAGAUACAUCCGUUUGAGCGACAAGUAAUAUGGAUCGGAGGGAGUACUAU